Long non-coding RNA from Triticum aestivum (bread wheat), 513 nucleotides. RefSeq lists it as uncharacterized. The transcript is spliced from 3 exons. The record is from RefSeq and is a predicted model, not a curated record. NCBI's taxonomy places the organism in Eukaryota, Viridiplantae, Streptophyta, Magnoliopsida, Poales, Poaceae.
CUACGCCGACGCCCCCCUCGAAACCCUAGCACCACUUUCCCUUCCCCUCACUCGCCCCCAUCUCCCUCUGCCCCGCUCACACCCGCCACCGUCCGCGACCCCCAUGGCCGCACCGCUGUGAAGCUCGCGGACACGGUCGACCCGGACGCCUAGGAGCUUGACCAUCGGCCUCGUAAUCCCCGUCUACAUCGUCCCCGCCUCUGGAUCGAGGCCAAAACGCUGCCUCGCCGUCGCUAGCCUCCUGCAUCUCCAUCACGGGCGCCGCAUCUCGCCGUUGACCUGUGCAUCCUCGACCAGCCACGGCCGCCCCGAGCACACCAUCAAGCUCCGUGUAGACUUCGAGACUGACGCCGAUGUUGCCCCUGUGUUUGACUACUCACCGACGACCCUUCUUUUGCGGCAAAGCUUCCAAUGACGGAUCCCAGGAGCCAGACAACACCACCGACGAUUACUACUACACCGAGGGUGCCUACUACUACGUGGAGACCGCCAACGACCAGGAGUAGUUAGGAG